UUUUACAUAUUUUUUUUACGUAACCGUAUUUUUACCCUGUUUUAUUUUAGCUUGAAAAAGAACUCAAGGAUUUGAAAGAAAUAAAUAACAAUUUAAAGAAUGAAGUAUUAAAAGACACAAAUAAUAACAACGCUCAAACUAAUCCACAACAGGAGAAAUAUGAAGCACAAAAUGAAAAAAUCAUCAAAUUAGAAGCUGAGCUAUUAAUUGAAAAAAAAAAAUAGUACAAUUAUUGAAGAAACGACUAAAAAUAAAUUAACAAAGGAAUUUAAUGCUGCAUUGCAAAUUUUUAAAGAACAAUUACAAAUUAGGGAAAAGGAAACUGAAUAUUACAAAGAAACAAUGAAAACACAGAUAGAUACUUUUAAAGACGAACAAAAAUUAUUAAGCGAUAUUAUUCACAACUUAGGCCUAAAAUAUAAACAAUUACAAACUUAUAAUCUUUGUUUAAAGAAUGAAAUUACAGGAAUUAAAUUAAGAACCAAAGCUUGUACAAAUUCCGACAACAAAUAAAAUCCCAGUUUUAUACAUAUAUAAUACUCCUUACAAUUAUUUUUUUUCUGUUUUUAAAUUAUUUUAAUUUUUUAAUAAGUCAAAACAUCAACAAAAUAACAUCAUGAAUAAAGUAAAUACUUCAUAUUUGUACA
Molecule: long non-coding RNA, 647 nt
Filed under: Piliocolobus tephrosceles (Ugandan red Colobus)
Lineage: Eukaryota; Metazoa; Chordata; Mammalia; Primates; Cercopithecidae
Description: lncRNA (ENSPTEG00000003384.1)
Source: RNAcentral